GCGCGCAAAUUACCCAAUCCCGACUCGGGGAGGUAGUGACAAUAAAUACUGAUACAGGGCUCUUUUGGGUCUUGUAAUUGGAAUGAGUACAAUUUAAAUCCCUUAACGAGGAACAAUUGGAGGGCAAGUCUGGUGCCAGCAGCCGCGGUAAUUCCAGCUCCAAUAGCGUAUAUUAAAGUUGUUGUGGUUAAAAAGCUCGUAGUUGAACCUUGGGCCUGGCUGGCCGGUCCGCCUCACCGCGUGUACUGGUCCGGCCGGGCCUUUCCCUCUGUGGAACCCCAUGCCCUUCACUGGGUGUGGCGGGGAAACAGGACUUUUACUUUGAAAAAAUUAGAGUGCUCCAGGCAGGCCUAUGCUCGAAUACAUUAGCAUGGAAUAAUAAAAUAGGACGUGUGGUUCUAUUUUGUUGGUUUCUAGGACCGCCGUAAUGAUUAAUAGGGACAGUCGGGGGCAUCAGUAUUCAAUUGUCAGAGGUGAAAUUCUUGGAUUUAUUGAAGACUAACUACUGCGAAAGCAUUUGCCAAGGAUGUUUUCAUUAAUCAGGAACGAAAGUUAGGGGAUCGAAGACGAUCAGAUACCGUCGUAGUCUUAACCAUAAACUAUGCCGACUAGGGAUCGGACGAUGUUAUUAUUUGACUCGUUCGGCACCUUACGAGAAAUCAAAGUGCUUG
RNAcentral lists this ribosomal RNA (671 nucleotides) under uncultured eukaryote. RNAcentral's name for it is "SSU rRNA". It matches the Rfam family "Eukaryotic small subunit ribosomal RNA", at positions 432 to 1109 of the family's 1831-position model. The record is from RNAcentral.